Molecule: ribosomal RNA, 253 nt
Filed under: uncultured bacterium
Lineage: Bacteria
Description: partial 16S ribosomal RNA
Rfam family: Bacterial small subunit ribosomal RNA
Source: RNAcentral
UACGGAGGGUGCAAGCGUUGUUCGGAAUCACUGGGCGUAAAGCGUACGCAGGCGGACCGUUAAGUCGAAUGUGAAAGCCCGGGGCUCAACCUCGGAAGUGCAUUCGAAACUGGCGGUCUUGAGUACGGGAGAGGUGAGUGGAAUUCCUGGUGUAGAGGUGAAAUUCGUAGAUAUCAGGAGGAACACCGGUGGCGAAAGCGGCUCACUGGCCCGAUACUGACGCUCAUGUACGAAAGCGUGGGGAGCAAACAGG